RNAcentral lists this small nuclear RNA (124 nucleotides) under Neogale vison (American mink). RNAcentral's name for it is "Neovison vison (American mink) U4 spliceosomal RNA (ENSNVIG00000021959.1)". It matches the Rfam family "U4 spliceosomal RNA". From Rfam's summary of the family: U4 small nuclear RNA (U4 snRNA) is a component of the major U2-dependent spliceosome. Lineage: Eukaryota; Metazoa; Chordata; Mammalia; Carnivora; Mustelidae. The record is from Rfam by way of RNAcentral.
AGCUUUGCGCAGUGGCAGUAUCGUAGCCAAUGAGGUUUAUCCGAGGCGCGAUUAUUGCUAAUUGAAAACUUUAAAUGACAGCAAAAAAUAAAAUAUUUUUAACAUUAUUCAAAGCUUGAGAGCU